GGGCGGUUAGCUCAGUGGUUUAGAGCGCUGCGUUGACAUCGCAGAGGUCA
This 50-nucleotide transfer RNA is filed under the name Dehalococcoidia bacterium. Its description in RNAcentral is "tRNA-Val". It matches the Rfam family "tRNA", at positions 1 to 47 of the family's 71-position model. From Rfam's summary of the family: Transfer RNA (tRNA) molecules are approximately 80 nucleotides in length. Their secondary structure includes four short double-helical elements and three loops (D, anti-codon, and T loops). The record is from RNAcentral. Lineage: Bacteria; Bacillati; Chloroflexota; Dehalococcoidia.